GAGUUUGAUCCUGGCUCAGAACGAACGCUGGCGGCAGGCCUAACACAUGCAAGUCGAGCGAACUCUUCGGAGUUAGCGGCGGACGGGUGAGUAACGCGUGGGAAUAUGCCCAAAGGUACGGAACAACAGUUGGAAACGACUGCUAAUACCGUAUGUGCCCUACGGGGGAAAGAUUUAUCGCCUUUGGAUUAGCCCGCGUUGGAUUAGCUAGUUGGUGGGGUAACGGCCCACCAAGGCGACGAUCCAUAUCUGGUUUGAGAGGAUGAUCAGACACACUGGGACUGAGACACGGCCCAGACUCCUACGGGAGGCAGCAGUGGGGAAUCUUGGACAAUGGGGGCAACCCUGAUCCAGCCAUGCCGCGUGAGCGAUGAAGGCCUUAGGGUUGUAAAGCUCUUUCACCGGUGAAGAUAAUGACGGUAGCCGGAGAAGAAGCCCCGGCUAACUCCGUGCCAGCAGCCGCGGUAAUACGGAGGGGGCUAGCGUUGUUCGGAAUUACUGGGCGUAAAGCGCGCGUAGGCGGGCUGUUAAGUCGGGGGUGAAAUCCCGGGGCUCAACCCCGGAACUGCCCUCGAUACUGGCAGCCUAGAGGAUGAGAGAGGCGAGUGGAA
Molecule: ribosomal RNA, 611 nt
Filed under: uncultured Paracoccaceae bacterium
Lineage: Bacteria; Pseudomonadati; Pseudomonadota; Alphaproteobacteria; Rhodobacterales; Paracoccaceae
Description: bacterial SSU rRNA
Rfam family: Bacterial small subunit ribosomal RNA
Source: RNAcentral